This is a long non-coding RNA of Girardinichthys multiradiatus, 1232 nucleotides long. RefSeq lists it as uncharacterized. NCBI's taxonomy places the organism in Eukaryota, Metazoa, Chordata, Actinopteri, Cyprinodontiformes, Goodeidae. The transcript has 2 exons. The record is from RefSeq and is a predicted model, not a curated record.
ACAAGCCUCCAGUCACUAGGUGGCAGCAGUGCUCAAACAAACCACUGUACCAGUGGAAGAAGUGCACCGGUGUAAACAGAGCUCAUGGAGGAGAGAUGGAGUAGUUUGUCAUCAGAGUAAAAGGAAAAACGGAGGAUUUGCCAGUAACAAGAAACAGGGAUAAACAUAAAAUCAGAAAAUACGACGAAGCCUACCUUGUCCUCGGAUUCACCGUUAAAUACGGUCGGAAAUGAGGAAAGACCCGUUUGGGUUUUGUGCAGCGGACAGCAUGAAACCAAACAAAUUAUGGCAGCACCUGGAGACUUUACACCCCAGUUAUACCAACGGUUGGACUAGGCCUGAAGUAGAGGGGACAAUCGAGAAAGAAACCUGAGAAGAAUCCAUUACCCUCUACCCACUCCUGAGGAAAACAUUACUUUUAAACCGAGGAGGACGACCCAGGCUCUGAUCGGUGCAUCUCCAGUGAUUUGAUAUACUGAUGCAAUAUUUACUACAGCUACUUUUAGCAGCACGUCUAACUAAUUUAAAGUAAGUUUAAAUAAUUAUGAGCAUGAUCCCAGAAGCAGCAGAAAAUAUGCUUUAUGAAUAACCUGCAAUUAGCACUCCGCUUACCUAAUAAAUACCAACCCAAGCCUGUGAUGAAUGUCAUCAGACUGCAGCCUUACUGAUGUAAACGAAAGAAACUAAAACUACGUUAACACUUGGACCUGGCAGACUUCCAGAACCAAAAGCCCCAGCCCAGCAUGGGUCUGAGGAGGGCUUGGAGGCCAGUGGAAACGUCUCCCUCAGGAUCCACUCGCAGAGCCUUCAUUACCAUGUUACCAUGACGACACAGACCAAGGCCCCAAGCUAAAACAGCAGACUUUCUCUGGCAUGCUCCCACUCUGCUGAUCCAUCAGUUUCAUACUGCCCCUGACUCCUCUAUCACACGGGACUAAAUCCAAAAUAAUGAGACCACCUCACUAAAUCUCAGCUCAGAUAUGAUCUCAUAUAUGAGAACUGAUGGUAAGGUAAGAUGAACGGAGCUAAAUCUAACCCUGUGGGGGGCGCAGUUUGACCUUUCAGCAGGACAACAACCCUACAAAGUGGACUCUGGGAGUCUUGUCAGUUUUGGUAACCAUGUAUUGUUUUCUGUCCAUGUCACGAUUAUGCUCUAGUUCGUGUUAAGUUUUUACAUAAAUGAACAAUAAAACUGACCUUACUCCUACAGCUGCCCUCCACAAACUACCUCA